This 465-nucleotide ribosomal RNA is filed under the name uncultured bacterium. Its description in RNAcentral is "partial 16S ribosomal RNA". It matches the Rfam family "Bacterial small subunit ribosomal RNA", at positions 338 to 795 of the family's 1533-position model. The record is from RNAcentral.
CCUACGGGUGGCAGCAGUAGGGAAUCUUCCACAAUGGGCGAAAGCCUGAUGGAGCAACGCCGCGUGGGUGAAGAAGGUCUUCGGAUCGUAAAACCCUGUUGUUAGAGAAGAAAGUGCGUGAGAGUAACUGUUCACGUUUCGACGGUAUCUAACCAGAAAGCCACGGCUAACUACGUGCCAGCAGCCGCGGUAAUACGUGGGUGGCAAGCGUUAUCCGGAUUGAGUGGGCGUAAAGGGAACGUAGGCGGUCGGUUAAGUCUGAUGUGAAAGCCUUCGGCUUAACCGGGGUAGUGCAUUGGAAACUGGGAGACUUGAGUGCAGGAGAGGAAAGUGGAACUCCAAGUGUAGCGGUGAAAUGCGUAGAUAUAAGGAAGAACACCAGUGGCGAAGGCGGCUCUCUGGUCUGUAACUGACGCUGAGGUUCGAAAGCGUGGGUAGCAAACAGGAUUAGAUACCCUGGUAGUC